CCAACAUCCAGCGGGGCUGCGCUCUGCUCUCCAUGGGCUUUGUCACCUUCAAAGGGGCCCGGUGUGGGGGUCCGGAGGAAGCACUGCAGCCAACAAACACACGGGGCUCCGUUUCCUCCUCACUCCUUGCAGAGCCAGCGGGUUCCUGCAGGCAGCCCCGAAGAAAGGCGCCUUGUUGGAAAACAGAGGGGCUUUUUUUCUCUCGUGGCCACCUAAAAUACCACGUGUCACUGGUGAUGUUUGCGUUUCGAGGACGAGGUGUGGAAAUGGGGAACUGCUGAGCACACGCCCUGAGAUGCUGUGAGAGGGAACAGAAAACACCUGCGGAGCGGAUUUGAGGCGAUAAUCCAUCGAGAGAGGGGAAAUGGAGCAGCGCGCCGCAGAGCGUGUGCACAGCGAAGCCUUGAAGCGGAGCGCAGGGCUGGCCCUGCUCUGAGCGAUGGGCUGAACUCAAAGGCAGGAGCUGGGAGCGGUGACCUUCGCUCACGCUGGAGCAUGGAGAAGGCAGAGGAGGCUGUGGGGCCUCCCGUGACCACAGGCAGUGCUCAGAGGCUCUGUGAUGGACGGACCCUCAGCCCCCUGCAGGGACGCCAUGCCCCCAGCAAGCACAGCAGCCCCUCGGGAUGCACUGUGGCUCUCCUGCUGCCCCCCAUCAGCAGUUUGGGCUUUCUCCAGCAUGUGCUUUCCCAAAGGCUCUGUUUGUGUUUGCAGCGCCUUUGUUUGCUGCAGAUCUUCAUUGCCCACAGUUAUUGCCUUCACCACCCUCUAUGCCCCACCACUGCACCGCGCUGCCAGCUGGGGAUAGGCUUACCCAGGGCAGGGGUGCUUUAUGGGUUUCAUAAAUCCUCUCCAUACAUCCUUUACUACUUUCACCUUUACG
RNAcentral lists this long non-coding RNA (880 nucleotides) under Gallus gallus (chicken). The record is from RNAcentral. Lineage: Eukaryota; Metazoa; Chordata; Aves; Galliformes; Phasianidae.